ACAAUGGAGAGUUUGAUCCUGGCUCAGGAUGAACGCUAGCUACAGGCUUAACACAUGCAAGUCGAGGGGAAACGGCAUUGAGUGCUUGCACUCUUUGGACGUCGACCGGCGCACGGGUGAGUAACGCGUAUCCAACCUUCCCAUUACUGUGGGAUAACCUGCCGAAAGGCAGACUAAUACCGCAUAGUCUUCGAUGACGGCAUCAGAUUUGAAGUAAAGAUUUAUCGGUAAUGGAUGGGGAUGCGUCUGAUUAGCUUGUUGGCGGGGUAACGGCCCACCAAGGCAACGAUCAGUAGGGGUUCUGAGAGGAAGGUCCCCCACAUUGGAACUGAGACACGGUCCAAACUCCUACGGGAGGCAGCAGUGAGGAAUAUUGGUCAAUGGACGGAAGUCUGAACCAGCCAAGUAGCGUGCAGGAUGACGGCCCUAUGGGUUGUAAACUGCUUUUGUAUGGGGAUAAAGUUAGGGACGUGUCCCUAUUUGCAGGUACCAUACGAAUAAGGACCGGCUAAUUCCGUGCCAGCAGCCGCGGUAAUACGGAAGGUCCAGGCGUUAUCCGGAUUUAUUGGGUUUAAAGGGAGCGUAGGCUGGAGAUUAAGUGUGUUGUGAAAUGUAGACGCUCAACGUCUGAAUUGCAGCGCAUACUGGUUUCCUUGAGUACGCACAACGUUGGCGGAAUUCGUCGUGUAGCGGUGAAAUGCUUAGAUAUGACGAAGAACUC
Molecule: ribosomal RNA, 721 nt
Filed under: Prevotella melaninogenica
Lineage: Bacteria; Pseudomonadati; Bacteroidota; Bacteroidia; Bacteroidales; Prevotellaceae
Description: bacterial SSU rRNA
Rfam family: Bacterial small subunit ribosomal RNA
Source: RNAcentral